RNAcentral lists this ribosomal RNA (1115 nucleotides) under uncultured archaeon. RNAcentral describes it as "bacterial SSU rRNA". It matches the Rfam family "Archaeal small subunit ribosomal RNA", at positions 311 to 1406 of the family's 1478-position model. The record is from RNAcentral.
UGGUCCCAGCCCCUUAACGGGGUGCAGCAGGCGCGAAACCUUUACAAUGCACGCAAGUGUGAUAAGGGGGAUUCCAAGUGCUCAAGCACUGCUUGGGCUUUUGCCAUGUGUAAAUAGCAUGGCGAAUAAGUGGUGGGAAAGACUGGUGCCAGCCGCCGCGGUAACACCAGCGCCACGAGUGGCAAUCGCGUUUAUUGGGCCUAAAGCGUCCGUAGCAGGUUUUACACAUCUCUUGUGAAAUUGCCAGGCUUAACUUGGCAGUGUGCAGGAGGCACGGUAAGACUAGAGACCGGGAUGGGUCGGAGGUAUUCCUGAGGGAGCGGUAAAAUGCUAUAAUCUCAGGAGGACCACCGGUGGCGAAGGCGUCCGACUAGAACGGAUCUGACUGUGAGGGACGAAAGCUAGGGGAGCAAACCGGAUUAGAUACCCGAGUAGUCCUAGCUGUAAACGCUGUGAGUCUAGGUGUCGUCGUAUUCUACGGGAAUGCGCGGUGUCGUAAGGAAGCUACUAAGCUCACCGCCUGGGGAAGUUACGGUUGCAAGAUGUAAACUUUAAGGAAUUGGCGGGGGCGCACCACAAAGGGGUUGCGGCGUGCGGUUUAAUCUAACUCACACAGAGAACCUUACUAGGGGCGACGGCAGGAAUGAAAAGUCAUGUCUGAAGACAUUACUCAACGAGCCGAGAGGUGGUGCAUGGCCGUCGUCAGUCUCCGUGUCUAUGAAGUGUCCAGUUAAGUCUGGCAACGAGUCGAGACCUGUAUCUGCAAUUGCUCACGGCACUACGGUGGACCGAGCACAUUGCAGGGACUGCCUUGGAAACAAGGAGGAAGGUGCAGGUCUACGGUAGGUCUUGUAUGCCCCGAAUCCCCUAGGCUACACGUCGUCGCAACAAUGGUAGGGACAAUGGGAUGCAACUCCGAAAGGAGAAGUCUAAACCUCUAAACCCUAUCCCAGUCCAGAUUGAGGGUUGCAACUCACCCUCAUGACGUCGGAAUCCCUAGUAAUCAGGUUUCAUCAAAGCCUGGUGUAAUAUGUCCCUGUCGCCUGCACACACCGUCCCGUCAAACCAACCGUAGUCAGGGUUUAGGUAAAACAAAGCCUAUUAGUUUUGUUGAA